RNAcentral lists this non-coding RNA (30 nucleotides) under Mus musculus (house mouse). Lineage: Eukaryota; Metazoa; Chordata; Mammalia; Rodentia; Muridae. The record is from RNAcentral.
AACAUUUGAGUCUAAAAAUGUUGGACAGGC